UUCAACCGGCAUUGGAAGUAAAAGUCUUAACAAGGUUUCCGUAGGUGAACCUGCGGAAGGAUCAUUA
This 67-nucleotide ribosomal RNA is filed under the name Podosphaera pannosa. RNAcentral's name for it is "partial 18S small subunit ribosomal RNA". It matches the Rfam family "Eukaryotic small subunit ribosomal RNA", at positions 1765 to 1831 of the family's 1831-position model. The record is from RNAcentral. Lineage: Eukaryota; Fungi; Ascomycota; Leotiomycetes; Helotiales; Erysiphaceae.